Molecule: long non-coding RNA, 1794 nt
Organism: Rosa rugosa (rugosa rose)
Lineage: Eukaryota; Viridiplantae; Streptophyta; Magnoliopsida; Rosales; Rosaceae
Exons: 4
Source: RefSeq, a predicted model, not a curated record
UGUCUCUCAAAUUCUCUGCAUCUGGAUUAUCUGUUCGUUCGUGAAGCUCAGAAAUCAAUGGCUUCUUCGUCCUUGAGACCUUCGUUGACGACAACGACAGCGGCCACGGCGAACAAUGGUGGAGCUGGAAGUUCCGAGAGGCAACAACUCCAUCCUGCUCGGUAAACCACGUCGUCUGUUUGAUCCCAGCUGGCGUCUUCCUCGACUUCAUGGUUGAAAGAGGAGGCGGCGCCGAUGUUGAGCGUGGAGGCUUCUGCCACAGGUUUGGAGGUGACCGUGGUCGCGGCGGUAGGCACCGCGGUGCUGGGCCUGAGAGAAUCAUGAAGAUCAUGCCGGUUCAGAAGCAAACCGUUUUGGUUAGAGGACUCGCUUCUUCUGUUCCUCUAUCUCGGCCAUGUUCCCCAACCCCGGUUGGCCGUCCCACAAGGUCUUCAACAAGAUGUCGUGGACCGACUUCGAUUACUGCAAAUCCCGCCAGGUCACUACUCUCCCUCAUCACCAAUCAAUCAAUCUAUCCAAUUCAGUUUGCUUCUAAUUCUGAAUACUAGCACUUCUUUUUCACUUCUUGGUUGCAUUCUGAAGAUGCAUGUUGUUUAUUUGAUUAUUAUGUCUCUUUGUAAAGUUUGGCUUUUUCUAUAGAGAUAAUCAUAAAUUACUGCCCAGCUUUAAUUCUGAGGCACUUCAUGACUUUAUCAUCUAAAGCUUAUGAAGCUAUACCAUAUGCUUUGUAUAGAAGAUUGAGGCUAGGCUUUCUGGCUUUCUAUUUUUGGUGAAGCUUGUGACCCAAAAUAGGCCUUGCUUUAUAUGGCAACGACAGCAUGGAUUUCUGACAUUGCAUAAUGAUAUUAGUUUAGUGCUUUUAGAUUUGGUCUAUUUUUCCCAAAUGCUUUUAGUAGGUACUAUCUAUAGCUGCUAGCACUCGAUGAAGUUGUAGAGAUGAAGUAAUUAUUCAAACUGGGAGUAUAUAACUUGUAUUCAAAUAUCUCAUAGCUACAGAUUUUGGCAUUUGAUAAUUCCAGGAAUUGUAAUUUCUGUUUUGUAGUUGUGUUAGUAAAUUUCUAUUGGUUCUUUGAUGAUAACUUGAAUAUAUAUCUGAGUGAGGCGGCUAUCAAGGAGGAAAGACAUGAGGCACGGCGCGCUAAAAAGGAAUUGAAGGGACUUUACAGGGGUGAAGCGCAGCAUGCUUAAAGAGUAGAUUCUUAAUGAGCAAUGGGUGCCAAAAGGAUGUCACAGUGGCGCUUAUAAGCUUUCACAAUUGUAGCCUUGAUGCCAAAAUCCAGACCAACCUGGAUCAAAUAAAGGCAUCACCAGCUUGAUUACUGCAGGAUGUGCAGCCAUCUGUAUCUCAAGCCUCAGUUUCUAGUUCACCAGUAGGGGCUCCUUCAACUCCAACUACCAUUCCACUUGCUUCAAGUGCGGGCACACCGUCAUUCUCUUACAGUGUGCCUCCAAACACAAAUAUCACUUUUGGAACCUCUCAGCAGCCAUCACCUAGUUUUAUGUUGGAACCUCCCACUUUUGACACUGUUAUCUAAAUGGAGUACUAUAAUUUCAUAAACAGUAAAGAUGAAGUCUGAAAGGUCUCUUAGUUUUAUGUUGGAUGUGUAGCUAUAUGUGGAUUAAAUAUGUAUGUAUCUGAGGAAGUGUUGAUUCUCAAAGAAUUUCAUGAUAUGAAUCUAAAAGUUGCUCAUAAAAGUGUAACUUUCAUAUGAAUGUGACUUCAGAUUAUUGUAUCUAAUUUGGAUAGUACUGGCACUUGUAAGCUCAAUUGAAUAAAAGUCGGUAUAUGAGUGA